AAAUUGAAGAGUUUGAUCAUGGCUCAGAUUGAACGCUGGCGGCAGGCCUAACACAUGCAAGUCGAACGGUAGCACAGAGAGCUUGCUCUCGGGUGACGAGUGGCGGACGGGUGAGUAAUGUCUGGGAAACUGCCUGAUGGAGGGGGAUAACUACUGGAAACGGUGGCUAAUACCGCAUAACGUCGCAAGACCAAAGAGGGGGACCUUCGGGCCUCUUGCCAUCAGAUGUGCCCAGAUGGGAUUAGCUGGUUGGUGAGGUAACGGCUCACCAAGGCGACGAUCCCUAGCUGGUCUGAGAGGAUGACCAGCCACACUGGAACUGAGACACGGUCCAGACUCCUACGGGAGGC
Molecule: ribosomal RNA, 350 nt
Filed under: Salmonella enterica
Lineage: Bacteria; Pseudomonadati; Pseudomonadota; Gammaproteobacteria; Enterobacterales; Enterobacteriaceae
Description: bacterial SSU rRNA
Rfam family: Bacterial small subunit ribosomal RNA
Source: RNAcentral